AGACCCGAAACCAGGUGAUCUACCCUUGGUCAGGUUGAAGUUCAGGUAACACUGAAUGGAGGACCGAACCGACUUACGUUGAAAAGUGAGCGGAUGAACUGAGGGUAGCGGAGAAAUUCCAAUCGAACCUGGAGAUAGCUGGUUCUCUCCGAAAUAGCUUUAGGGCUAGCCUCAAGUGAUGAUUAUUGGAGGUAGAGCACUGUUUGGACGAGGGGCCCCUCUCGGGUUACCGAAUUCAGACAAACUCCGAAUGCCAAUUAAUUUAACUUGGGAGUCAGAACAUGGGUGAUAAGGUCCGUGUUCGAAAGGGAAACAGCCCAGACCACCAGCUAAGGUCCCAAAAUAUAUGUUAAGUGGAAAAGGAUGUGGCGUUGCCCAGACAACUAGGAUGUUGGCUUAGAAGCAGCCAUCAUUUAAAGAGUGCGUAAUAGCUCACUAGUCGAGUGACACUGCGCCGAAAAUGUACCGGGGCUAAACAUAUUACCGAAGCUGUGGAUUGUCCUUUGGACAAUGGUAGGAGAGCGUUCUAAGGGCGUUGAAGCAUGAUCGUAAGGACAUGUGGAGCGCUUAGAAGUGAGAAUGCCGGUGUGAGUAGCGAAAGACGGGUGAGAAUCCCGUCCACCGAUUGACUAAGGUUUCCAGAGGAAGGCUCGUCCGCUCUGGGUUAGUCGGGUCCUAAGCUGAGGCCGACAGGCGUAGGCGAUGGAUAACAGGUUGAUAUUCCUGUACCACCUAUAAUCGUUUUAAUCGAUGGGGGGACGCAGUAGGAUAGGCGAAGCGUGCGAUUGGAUUGCACGUCUAAGCAGUAAGGCUGAGUAUUAGGCAAAUCCGGUACUCGUUAAGGCUGAGC
Molecule: ribosomal RNA, 850 nt
Filed under: Staphylococcus aureus
Lineage: Bacteria; Bacillati; Bacillota; Bacilli; Caryophanales; Staphylococcaceae
Description: partial 23S ribosomal RNA
Rfam family: Bacterial large subunit ribosomal RNA
Source: RNAcentral